GCGUACGCAAUCUACCUUUCACAGAGGGAUAGCCUUGGGAAACUGAGAAUAAUACCUCAUGGUCUUGAUUGGUCGCAUGACUGGUUGAGUAAAGUUUUGGCGGUGAAAGAUGAGCGUGCGUGCUAUUAGGUAGUUGGUAAGGUAAUGGCUUACCAAGCCUACGAUAGCUAGGGGGCGUGAGAGCGUGAUCCCCCACACGGGUACUGAGACACGGACCCGACUCCUACGGGAGGCAGCAGUAAGGAAUAUUGGACAAUGGGCGCAAGCCUGAUCCAGCCAUCCCGCGUGGAGGAUGACGGC
RNAcentral lists this ribosomal RNA (300 nucleotides) under uncultured bacterium. RNAcentral describes it as "bacterial SSU rRNA". It matches the Rfam family "Bacterial small subunit ribosomal RNA", at positions 115 to 415 of the family's 1533-position model. The record is from RNAcentral.